CAUGAGAACAGCCGCCGCAUUGGCCCGUCGCAGGACGCCCAGCGGGGAUGUCAUAAAGGCUUGGUAGACGCGGAGGCCGCCGGCGGGGGUGAGCGGUGGUGGUGUGGGCGGCUCGCGGGCCCCACCCCUCUCCGGCGGCGGCGGCGGCGGCGGUUCCCGCUCCGCCAGGCCGCCGGGGCUGGCGAGCUCCCUGCGGCGCGCUGGGCGGGCUGCGCGGGGCGGCAGGGGGUCUCGUCUCCCCGUGAGCCCCGUGCGGGCCCGGCGGCGGCAGGUGAAAAAUCCAAAACAUGAACAGCAAUACAUCAUACCUGUUCUCAAAGCUGACUUGGCUGGCAGUGGAACAUAGUUCCCUAGCAGAUCCUCUGGCAAGAAAGUUGUAAGUCUUUUGUAAUGGCCAACAAGAAAGAGCCUCCUUUUUUCAAUGAAGAUAACUUGGGACCGUUUCACUACAAACUUCCUUUUUAUGAAACUAUGGAGCUCUUCAUUGAAACGCUUACAGGCACGUGCUUUGAACUGCGAGUGUCCCCCUUUGAAACAGUGAUUUCUGUGAAAGCUAAAAUUCAAAGACUGGAAGGUAUUCCUGUCUGUCAGCAGCACUUAAUUUGGAAUAAUACAGAACUGAAGGAUGGCUACUGUUUGAAUGAUUAUAACAUUUCAGAAGGCUGCACUCUGAAGUUAGUUCUGGCUAUGCGAGGUGGACCUAUUAAUACUAGAAGAGUUCCUGUGGAAGACCCUAUUAGGGAAAUGGCUGAAUAUAUGGAUCCCAGCAGAGAUGAGAUCUGGGAGAAGGGACCAUCCAACAAACAAGUUACCUUUUUAGUAUAUCGAGAAGGAGAUCAGUUGAAUUUCUUCCGUGUGGUAGACCGGGGAGAUGGCACUUUAACACCAUUAUCUGAGUCUUUGAGUGGUGGUUCAGUUUAUAACUUAUAUGCUGAUGAUGAAGAUGAAACAGAGGCAUCACCUUCUGGCCAGCAGAUUAUUGAGAAUUCAAUUACUAUGAAUAAAAUGAAGCUGCUCAAAGCAAAGAUGGAGAACAUGAAUCUGAGUAAAAAGCCUAAGAAAACUGUCAAAGUGAAACCUCGUCCUCCAGUGACUCCUCGACCAUCUAGUAGCUCAGUGGCUACUGCUGCUCGUCACAGGUUUUUAAGAGUGCUCCCCCAUAUCGGACAGUCCUGCCUACCUCCUCCUGGGAAUUCAUAUCCUUCGGAGUCUUCCCAAAAUGCACUUUCAGCUUUGGCUACUUUGGCCACUGCUGGUAGAACAAUGCCAUCCACAACUAAUGACUUCCUUAAGGAAGAUGACACCUGGCAGAGCACCUCUUGGUCUCAGUCAGUUAGUAGCAUUAGGUUACCACCGAAAAUAUCUCGUGUCGAACUAGAAAAUACAAAACUACCAACAAAUAGUAUUCUGACUCCUGCUUCAUCUCUGCCUACAAAUUCAGAGAAGUCUGAAAAUGUGACCUCUACAAGGGAGAAGGAUUCUAUUCUGUAUGCAAAUCUAACAAAUUUAGAACCAUAUGGAACAGAAGAAAAGCUUCUACCUGAAACUGAUGCUUUUGCUUUGUUAACAGAAGCAAGCACCACUGAACAGUAUAGUGAGAUAUAUGACAUAGGAAAGGUGAAUCCAGAACUUGGACUGUCUGAUAGGGAUGAAGAGUCUAAGGUUGUAGAGCAACAUAGAAAACCUAUUAGUAAAGUGCUGAGCACUACAGCAAUGGAGGCUGGGCUUCUCAGUACUCAUGAAUUAAGUCCUCAGAAGAAUACGCUUUUAUCACCUCUUCGGUAUUCAACACAAGUGGCACAUCACAGUUCUCUGAAACCACAAACACAACCCAAAUGCUUUGAGGUUGGUAACAUGAGAUCUGCAGCCUCUCCAAAUGUGCUUCGAUCUUUGGAAGUCCAUAGUAUAGCAGAUUCCUCUUUUUCUAGGACUACUAGAUUUUGUGGCAUGAAGGUAGAUUCACUAGGCAAAAGACCUGAUGUAAUUCCUAAAGUGGAGGCUAGGGAUGUUACAGAUGUGGCUAACAAAGCAUCCAAAGAACCUGCAAGUUCUGUAAAUAACUUAGGAUUUCUAGCUUCGCUGGCCCGAAGUGGAAGCAGGGAAAACUUACAGAAUUCCUGUGGGCCAGGCAGGCUUCGGACUUCUGGUAUUGCACUGCCUACAAACAUUCAGCGUUUUCAGGAAGAAAGCUUUAGGAAAAUUGCUCCCCCAAAUGAAGCUGCUGAAUACAUUCUAUCUGCACGUGGGCUUGGAAUGAAUGGAAGUGUUGUGGCUGUAGGGAAAAGAGUAGCAGGUGAAGCAAUCCAUCUUCCACCUGUGAAUGGCUCAAUUCAAGCAAAAAAGAAAAUUACAAAGCAUUGCUUUCUUUGUGGCAAGAAAACUGGAUUGGCAACCAGCUAUGAGUGCAGGUAGGCUGAGUAUAUAACCAGCUGUUGUUUAAAAUGGAUAGCUGGGUUAACAGAAAAGGAAUACCAUGCAGCACAGAAAACCUAAGUGUAGCAAAUCAAAAAGCAGAGUUCAAAAAUAUUUAAGAAUUGCGUGUGAUUCACAGUUCAGCAAAACUCCAAGAAACAAGAUUCAGGAAUGUUGUACCUGUUCUGCUGUUGAGUUGUACAUUGUGCCAGAAAAAUCAAAAAGUGCAAGGUGUCAGGAAAUAGUGAACAUAGAGAUGUAAUGUAGAAGACUAGUGUGGGGAGAACUUGUUAAAGAUUUAAUUAUUGUUGAGAAACUUUGCAGAAUGUAAAUCUGUAGGAGCUUGAGGGAAAAAACCUGUUUUUGUUGCAGUUCUUAAGAAAAUCUACCUCAGGUUUGGCCCUGUUAUUACAUGUCUACACAACUUAUGAUUGCCUCUUAUGAAUUUAUAUUUGACAACUUAGUGAUCAAUGUGUUCCAGUUCUUGUGAAACUGCAGUCACUUUUGAGCUUCUAGAGUACCUCAAAAGUAGAACCCUAGUGUACUGGUGCCCCAAAUCAUGGUUUGCCGACAACUUAUUAUCCUUGAGACUUGCUGCUGCUGGUGGUCACUGGAGACCUAAAACAAGCAAAGAAGUAUGUUCCCCUUUUCUCAAAGUACAGUGCUUCCACAACAUGUUCUUUCUUGCUAUCAUUUCCUGUGAGCUAAUAAAGGUUGGGAACUGCUGCACUGAGAGCUGUGUUUGAAACUGAUCUGGGUUAAUGUCAAUCAUCAGCAAAACUGAACAAGAGUCCUGCCACUGGGGGAUUGUGAUGGAGAAUUGCUGGGUGAGAAUCUAUCUGCCUCCUUGUUGACUCUGAUUUUUGUAACGAUUUUGGACAUUACACGCUUCUCUACUGAACAAAUAGUUGUGAGGUUUUUCUAGAAAUAAAACAUUUCUUAUGGUUAAAACUGAAGCACAGAAAAGGGAGAAAACCAUGCAUCUCAAAGAACAGCAUCCUUCUAGUUUCAAAAGGAGCAACCAUGUAACCUUUUACUAGAAUGGAACAUCAGCCAAGUAAGAAAUACAGUUGUGUGAGAGAGGAAACAAUUACAGGAUGAAGAACCAAAGUAAAGCAGAUUUGUUACCAGAUACACAAGCCUCAGGAACAGCUGUGAAGUUUUAUGAACCUAGAUAGAUAAAUAGAGGAUUAUUAUAGUCUAUAAUAUGACGGUAAUUUGGAUGAGCUAUUGUCAACCUGUUUGAAGAGAACUCUGAUUCUGAGUUAUGUCAUUGCUUUACUGGCAAGAAGCAACUUUGUCAAAUGACUUCAGGCAACAGGACACUAAUAUUGGUCUCCUCUUCAAGCAUUUGUUCAGAUCAGAUGUGGAAACAACUUCUGUGCAACUCACCGCUAUGCAGAGACUCAUACCUGCACCUACGACUAUAAGAGUGCAGGGCGAAGGUAUUUGCAGGAGACCAAUCCCGUCG
Molecule: RNA transcript, 3883 nt
Organism: Dromaius novaehollandiae (emu)
Lineage: Eukaryota; Metazoa; Chordata; Aves; Casuariiformes; Dromaiidae
Gene: ZFAND4
Gene name: zinc finger AN1-type containing 4
Exons: 10
Source: RefSeq, a predicted model, not a curated record